Molecule: ribosomal RNA, 1386 nt
Filed under: uncultured bacterium
Lineage: Bacteria
Description: partial 16S ribosomal RNA
Rfam family: Bacterial small subunit ribosomal RNA
Source: RNAcentral
UUUGAUCCUGGCUCAGGAGGACCCCUAGCGAUAGGCCUAACACAUGCAAGUCGAGGAGCAGCACAUGAGUAGCAAUACGAUGGUGGCGACCGGCGCACGGGUGAGUAACACGUAUGCAACCUACCUUUAACAGGGGAAUAACCCGUUGAAAAACGGACUAAUACUCCAUAACACAGGGGUCCCGCAUGGGAAUAUUUGUUAAAGAUUUAUCGGUUGAAGAUGGGCAUGCGUUCCAUUAGCUUGUUGGUGAGGUAACGGCUCACCAAGGCCACGAUGGAUAGGGGAACUGAGAGGUUUAUCCCCCACACUGGAACUGAGACACGGUCCAGACUCCUACGGGAGGCAGCAGUGAGGAAUAUUGGUCAAUGGAGGCAACUCUGAACCAGCCAAGUCGCGUGAAGGAUGAAGGUCUUAUGGAUUGUAAACUUCUUUUGCAAGGGAAUAAAGUGGGGGACGUGUCCUCCUUUGCAUGUACCUUGCGAAUAAGGAUCGGCUAACUCCGCGCCAGCAGCCGCGGUAAUACGGAGGAUCCGAGCGUUAUCCGGAUUUAUUGGGUUUAAAGGGUGCGCAGGCGGGAUGUUAAGUCGGCGGUGAAAUUUUGCAGCUCAACUGUAAAAGUGCCUUCGAUACUGGCUUUCUUGAGUGUGGAUGAAGUAGGCGGAAUUUGUGGUGUAGCGGUGAAAUGCUUAGAUAUCUGGAGGAACACCAGUGGCGAAGGCGGCCUCCUGGACCAUUCCUGACACUCAGACGCGAAAGCUAGGGUAGCAAACGGAAGUAGAGACUCCGGUAGUCCUAGCCCUAAACGAUGCAGAAAAGGGGUCGGCGGUUAAUCACCGUCCGGUGUCCAAGCUAACGCGAUAAGUCUGCCGCCUGAGGACUACGGCCGCAAGGCUAAAAACUCAAAGGAAUUGACGGGUCCCCGCACAAGCAGCGGAGCGUGUGGUUUAAUUCGGUGCUCCGCGAAGAACCUUACCUGGGUUUGACAUAACAGUGGUAGAGAAGUGAAAACGGAUCGACCCUUCGGGGAGCUGUUACAGGUGUUGCAUGCCUGUCGUCAGCUCGUGUCGUGAGAUGUUCGGUUAAGUCCGCUAACGAGCGCAACCCGCGCUGUGUGUUACAAGUGUCACACAGUACCGCCGGUAUUAAGUCGGAGGAAGGUGCGGAUGACGUCAAGUCAGCAUGACCUUUAUAUCCAGGGCUACACACACGCUACAAUGGUCAGAACAAUAGGUUGCCAAGCCGCAAGGCGGAGCCAAUCCUCCAAAUCUGGCCUCAGUUCAGAUUGCAGGCUGCAACUCGCCUGCAUGAAGUCGGAGUUGCUAGUAACCGCAGGUCAGCAUACUGCGGUGAAUACGUUCCCGGGGAUUGCACACACCGCCCGUCAAG